Molecule: ribosomal RNA, 401 nt
Filed under: uncultured bacterium
Lineage: Bacteria
Description: bacterial SSU rRNA
Rfam family: Bacterial small subunit ribosomal RNA
Source: RNAcentral
GAUGAACGCUGACAGAAUGCUUAACACAUGCAAGUCUACUUGAAUUCACUUCGGUGAUAGUAAGGUGGCGGACGGGUGAGUAACACGUAAAGAACUUGCCUUACAGUUUGGGACAACUAUUGGAAACGAUAGCUAAUACCGAAUAUUAUGAAUUUUCUGCAUGGAAGAUUUAUGAAAGCUAUAUGCGCUGUAAGAGAGCUUUGCGUCCCAUUAGCUAGUUGGUGAGGUAACAGCUCACCAAGGCGACGAUGGGUAGCCGGCCUGAGAGGGUGAACGGCCACAAGGGGACUGAGACACGGCCCUUACUCCUACGGGAGGCAGCAGUGGGGAAUAUUGGACAAUGGACCAAAAGUCUGAUCCAGCAAUUCUGUGUGCACGAUGAAGGUCUUCGGAUUGUAAAG